Molecule: long non-coding RNA, 1123 nt
Organism: Octopus bimaculoides (California two-spot octopus)
Lineage: Eukaryota; Metazoa; Mollusca; Cephalopoda; Octopoda; Octopodidae
Source: RefSeq, a predicted model, not a curated record
UCGAGGUCGAUGAAUUAAGUACCAGUUGCAUAUUGGGGAUCGAUCUAAUCGACGGGCCCCCUUCUCCAAAAUUUUGGGCCUUGUGCCCAGAGUAGAAAGGAAUAUUGAGCGUAUCAUUCAUAGAUCAAGGGAGAUAAUUCGUAAAAAUAAGAAAACGUUAUGAUGGGAUUUUAGCAAUAGGUUUUAGACGGAAAUUUUCUGUGAUUCUCUGACAGCAUCGAUUUGACAAAAAAAAAAGGGGUGGGGGUGGGGGUAAGACGAUAAAGAAGUCUCUAUGUGUUUAUUCAAUCUGUUAGAAACAACAGCAAAAACCUCUUCAUACCCUGACCCUAUUAUAAGGAAGAAUACAUCCAAUAUUCGAUUUUGUUGUUAUUCAUAGAAAGAUCGUCAAGAUGCGAAUGCCUUUUGAUCAUGAGUCGGUUAGAUCAAAGUUGAUGUGCUGUUAUUUAAUCCCGGGUCUAGGAUCAAAGGUUUUCGGUGUAUGACUUACUUCAUUAUCUGUUUUUAUUUUUUCUUAGUGGUAAUUGAAUUGCAUUAGUGACUAGGUUACAGUAGUUUGACGAAGAUUUUCGAUUCGUCAUAAUUGAUUAUAUCAUGAAGGAAUAUAUGAAGCUGACUCUAACUGUUUUUGUGCUUUUAAAUGACUAUAAUGGCUUAUUGGGCUGGUUUACCGGACCCUGUGACGUAUAUAUAGUCCAUCCCUGGACAGGACAUCAGUUUGUCAGAGGAUUACUAAUUUUUGUCAGAUCAACAAUCAAAUGUCAGCCAUUGUAUGAUAUGCUACGUAUAAAAUUAUGCAGUUGACUCUUGAAGUGGUAUUUACUUUUACUGAAAUAAAAAGAAAAGAAGAAAAAUUUACCACGCAGAAUGCUAAUUAAACUUGCACUAAAUUAAUUUUUUUUCUUUCUUUUCUUUUUGCACUGAAUGAUUUUGAAUAAGUUUCCAGAAUGAAAAGAAGUUGAAGAAUCAAUCUGGGUUUUCUGUAAAUUAAAUAUCAAAUUUGAUUAUAGCAAAAAUGUAUCUAAUGAAACUGAAAAUGAUUUGGAGUAGAAAAAGAGAAAUCGUCAAAAGAAAUGGAAUUUUGUUCUCAAGUCAAAUAAAAUUUGUGGAAUGAAAAAGUGUA